UUGCCAUCAUGCUGCAGUGCUUGGAAAUGAUGCUGACCAAGUGCAGGAAGCAGGUCACCCUGCAGAGGGCGCAGGCCUUCGUUAAAAGACAGAACACUCAAUCUGCACAUGCUGCCUGACUCUUGCAUGGGCAUCCUGGCAGCCAAUAGGACGUUGAUGCAUACCUUUGAUAUCCCAAAGUGUGAUAUCCUGCGGGAUAAUGAGAUGCAGGGCAGCGGUGUGUCUCCCAGAGCUGGAUGAGCUGGAGUAACCCCCAGAACACUUCACUGUGGGAGCUUCACUUACUAAAGACACUAUCACCCCAUUGUUAGGAAGUAUGCUGCUCAUCUCAUGGUUGGAGCCUCCAGUGAAGGCUGCUCUCAGCAGAAG
Molecule: long non-coding RNA, 369 nt
Organism: Xyrauchen texanus (razorback sucker)
Lineage: Eukaryota; Metazoa; Chordata; Actinopteri; Cypriniformes; Catostomidae
Exons: 3
Source: RefSeq, a predicted model, not a curated record